UACGGGGGGGGCAAGCGUUGUUCGGAAUUACUGGGCGUAAAGGGCUCGUAGGCGGCCAACUAAGUCAGACGUGAAAUCCCUCGGCUUAACCGGGGAACUGCGUCUGAUACUGGAUGGCUUGAGUUUGGGAGAGGGAUGCGGAAUUCCAGGUGUAGCGGUGAAAUGCGUAGAUAUCUGGAGGAACACCGGUGGCGAAGGCGGCAUCCUGGACCAACACUGACGCUCAGGCGCGAAAGCUAGGGGAGCGAACAGG
RNAcentral lists this ribosomal RNA (253 nucleotides) under uncultured bacterium. Its description in RNAcentral is "partial 16S ribosomal RNA". It matches the Rfam family "Bacterial small subunit ribosomal RNA", at positions 524 to 776 of the family's 1533-position model. The record is from RNAcentral.